CAGCAGCCGCGGUAAUACGGAGGGUGCAAGCGUUACUCGGAAUCACUGGGCGUAAAGCGCGCGCAGGCGGCCUUUUAAGUUGGAUGUGAAAGCCUAUGGCUCAACCAUAGAACUGCAUCCAAAACUAUCAGGCUAGAGUGUGGGAGAGGAAGAUGGAAUUAGUUGUGUAGGGGUAAAAUCCGUAGAGAUAACUAGGAAUACCAAAAGCGAAGGCAAUCUUCUGGAACAUUACUGACGCUGAGGCGCGAAAGCGUGGGGAGCAAACAGGAUUAGGUACCCUGGUAGUCCACGCCCUAAACGAUGAAUGUUAGUCGUCGGGUAGCUAGUCUAUUCGGUGAUGCAGCUAACGCAUUAAACAUUCCGCCUGGGGAGUACGGUCGCAAGAUUAAAACUCAAAGGAAUAGGCGGGGACCCGCACAAGUGGUGGAGCAUGUGGUUUAAUUCGAAGAUACGCGAAGAACCUUACCUAGCCUUGACAUAUUUUAGAACACUUUAGAGAUAGAGUGGUGCCUUCGGGAGCUAAUAUACAGGUGCUGCACGGCUGUCGUCAGCUCGUGUCGUGAGAUGUUGGGUUAGUUCCCGCCACGAGCGCCACCCUCGUCACUAGUUACUACGGGUUCGGCCGAGGACUCUAGUGAGACUGCCUUCGUAAGGAGGAGGAAGGUGAGGACGACGUCAAGUCAUCAUGGCCCUUACGGCUAGGGC
This 705-nucleotide ribosomal RNA is filed under the name uncultured Campylobacterota bacterium. RNAcentral describes it as "bacterial SSU rRNA". It matches the Rfam family "Bacterial small subunit ribosomal RNA", at positions 509 to 1214 of the family's 1533-position model. Lineage: Bacteria; Pseudomonadati; Campylobacterota. The record is from RNAcentral.